Molecule: ribosomal RNA, 254 nt
Filed under: uncultured bacterium
Lineage: Bacteria
Description: partial 16S ribosomal RNA
Rfam family: Bacterial small subunit ribosomal RNA
Source: RNAcentral
CACGUAGGGUGCGAGCGUUGUCCGGAAUUAUUGGGCGUAAAGAGCUCGUAGGCGGUGUGUCGCGUCGGCCGUGAAAACCUGCAGCUUAACUGUGGGCUUGCGGUCGAUACGGGCAUCACUGGAGUUCGGCAGGGGAGACUGGAAUUCCUGGUGUAGCGGUGAAAUGCGCAGAUAUCAGGAGGAACACCGGUGGCGAAGGCGGGUCUCUGGGGCGAUACUGACGCUGAGGAGCGAAAGCGUGGGGAGCGAACAGG